UGGGGGAUAUUGCACAAUGGGCGAAAGCCUGAUGCAGCGACGCCGCGUGGGGGAUGAAGGCCUUCGGGUUGUAAACUUCUUUUGCUCUGAACAAGGCGCACCAUGGGGUGUGUUGAGUGUAGGGGUUGAUUAGCGCCGGCUAACUACGUGCCAGCAGCCGCGGUAAUACGUAGGGCGCGAGCGUUGUCCGGAAUUAUUGGGCGUAAAGGGCUUGUAGGUGGCUGGUUGCGUCUGUCGUGAAAGCUCAUGGCUUAACUGUGGGUUUGCGGUGGGUACGGGCUGGCUUGAGUGCAGUAGGGGAGGCUGGAAUUCCUGGUGUAGCGGUGGAAUGCGCAGAUAUCAGGAGGAAUACCGGUGGCGAAGGCGGGUCUCUGGGCUGUUACUGACACUGAGGGGCGAAAGCAUGGGGAGCGAACAGG
Molecule: ribosomal RNA, 419 nt
Filed under: bacterium
Lineage: Bacteria
Description: partial 16S ribosomal RNA
Rfam family: Bacterial small subunit ribosomal RNA
Source: RNAcentral